This 440-nucleotide ribosomal RNA is filed under the name uncultured bacterium. RNAcentral describes it as "partial 16S ribosomal RNA". It matches the Rfam family "Bacterial small subunit ribosomal RNA", at positions 338 to 795 of the family's 1533-position model. The record is from RNAcentral.
CCUACGGGUGGCUGCAGUGGGGAAUAUUGCACAAUGGGGGAAACCCUGAUGCAGCGACGCCGCGUGAGUGAAGAAGUCUUUCGGUAUGUAAAGCUCUAUUCGCAGGGAAAAAAAUGACGGUACCUGAGCAAGAAGCCACGGAUAACUACGAGCCAGCACCGGUGGUACUACGUAGGGGGCAGGGGUUAUCCGGAUUAACUGGGUGUAAAGGGAGCGUGGAGGGCGGGGCAAGUCGGGAGGGAAAGUGGGGGGCUCAACCCCCAGACUGCUCUUGAAACUGCAAGACUGGAGUGCAGGAGAGGUAAGCGGAAUUCCUGGUGUAGCGGUGAAAUGCGUAGAUAUUAGGAGGAACACCAGUGGCGAAGGCGGCUUACUGGACUGUAACUGACGUUGAGGCUCGAAAGCGUGGGGAGCAAACAGGAUUAGAUACCCGGGUAGUC